RNAcentral lists this ribosomal RNA (468 nucleotides) under uncultured bacterium. RNAcentral's name for it is "partial 16S ribosomal RNA". It matches the Rfam family "Bacterial small subunit ribosomal RNA", at positions 28 to 507 of the family's 1533-position model. The record is from RNAcentral.
GACGAACGCUGGCGGCGUGCUUAACACAUGCAAGUCGAACGGAAAGGCCCUGCGUUUGUGGGGUGCUCGAGUGUCGAACGCGUGUGUAACACGUGAGUAACCUGCCCUUGACUUUGGGAUAACUUCAGGAAACUGGGGCUAAUACCGGAUAGGAGCUCCUGCCGCGUGGCGUGGGUUGGAAAGUUUCGGCGGUUGGGGAUGGACUCGCGGCUUAUCAGCUUGUUGGUGGGGUAGUGGCUUACCAAGGCUUUGACGGGUAGCCGGCCUGAGAGGGUGACCGGCCACAUUGGGACUGAGAUACGGCCCAGACUCCUACGGGAGGCAGCAGUGGGGAAUAUUGCACAAUGGGCGGAAGCCUGAUGCAGCAACGCCGCGUGCGGGAUGACGGCCUUCGGGUUGUAAACCGCUUUCGGCUGUGACGAAGCGUGAGUGACGGUAAUGGGUAAAGAAGCACCGGCUAACUACGUG